GCCAGACGUUUAAGCCCUUCCACGAGCUUGGGAAGAUCAGAUGCCACCUUGCACUGAACAGCCACACGCACAACGGGAGAUACAGAAAAUUUCAUGGCUCGAAUUGGAUGAGCAUCAACUUCCUUCUCGUUUGUCAGAGUAGCAUUCUUUGUGAUGAAUUGAUCCAAUCCAACCAUGGCAACGGUGUUACCACAAGGCACAUCCUCCACAGUUUCUUGCUUCUUUCCCAUCCAA
This 234-nucleotide unclassified non-coding RNA is filed under the name Hevea brasiliensis (rubber tree). The record is from RNAcentral. Lineage: Eukaryota; Viridiplantae; Streptophyta; Magnoliopsida; Malpighiales; Euphorbiaceae.